RNAcentral lists this transfer RNA (76 nucleotides) under Astyanax mexicanus (Mexican tetra). It matches the Rfam family "tRNA", at positions 7 to 64 of the family's 71-position model. Rfam says of the family: Transfer RNA (tRNA) molecules are approximately 80 nucleotides in length. Their secondary structure includes four short double-helical elements and three loops (D, anti-codon, and T loops). Lineage: Eukaryota; Metazoa; Chordata; Actinopteri; Characiformes; Acestrorhamphidae. The record is from Rfam by way of RNAcentral.
AUAGCUCAGUUGGUAGAGCGGAGGAAUGUUAGGUGUUAAAAUUGGUCAUCCUUAUGGUGCUGGUUCAAAUCCGGCU